AUUCUACUCCCUCCGUUGCACAAUAAUGCCUUCUAUUUGUCAAAAUAUAUAUGUAUCUAGACAUGUUUUAGUAUAUAGGUACAUCCAUUUUUGGACAAAUGGAAGUCAAGUAUUUUGGAACGGAGGGAGUACACA
This is a non-coding RNA of Triticum aestivum (bread wheat), 135 nucleotides long. NCBI's taxonomy places the organism in Eukaryota, Viridiplantae, Streptophyta, Magnoliopsida, Poales, Poaceae. The record is from Rfam.